AAACCAACAGGGAUUGCCCUAGUAACGGCGAGUGAAGCGGCAACAGCUCAAAUUUGAAAUCUGGCACACGCCCGAGUUGUAAUUUGUAGAGGAUGCUUCUGGGCAGCGGCCGGUCUAAGUUCCUUGGAACAGGACGUCAUAGAGGGUGAGAAUCCCGUAUGCGACCGGCAGGCACCCGUCACGUAGCUCCUUCGACGAGUCGAGUUGUUUGGGAAUGCAGCUCUAAAUGGGAGGUAAAUUUCUUCUAAAGCUAAAUACCGGCCAGAGACCGAUAGCGCACAAGUAGAGUGAUCGAAAGAUGAAAAGCACUUUGGAAAGAGAGUUAAACAGCACGUGAAAUUGUUGAAAGGGAAGCGCAUGCAACCAGACUUGUCGGCGGUGUUCCGCCGGUCUCCUGACCGGUCCACUCGCCGCCGGCAGGCCAGCAUCGUUUGGGACCGCCGGACAAAGGCGGGGGGAAUGUGGCUCCUCGGAGUGUUAUAGCCCCCCGCACAAUACGGCGCGCCCCGAGCGAGGUCCGCGCUUCGGCUAGGAUGCUGGCGUAAUGGUCGUAUGCGGC
RNAcentral lists this ribosomal RNA (559 nucleotides) under uncultured fungus. RNAcentral describes it as "eukaryotic LSU rRNA". It matches the Rfam family "Eukaryotic large subunit ribosomal RNA", at positions 62 to 648 of the family's 3401-position model. The record is from RNAcentral. Lineage: Eukaryota; Fungi.